GGGUUGUGAGGUUAAGCGACUAAGCGUACACGGUGGAUGCCCUGGCAGUCAGAGGCGAUGAAGGACGUGCUAAUCUGCGAUAAGCGUCGGUAAGGUGAUAUGAACCGUUAUAACCGGCGAUUUCCGAAUGGGGAAACCCAGUGUGAUUCGUCACACUAUCAUUAACUGAAUCCAUAGGUUAAUGAGGCGAACCGGGGGAACUGAAACAUCUAAGUACCCCGAGGAAAAGAAAUCAACCGAGAUUCCCCCAGUAGCGGCGAGCGAACGGGGAGCAGCCCAGAGCCUGAAUCAGUGUGUGUGUUAGUGGAAGCGUCUGGAAAGGCGUGCGAUACAGGGUGACAGCCCCGUACACAAAAAUGCACAUACUGUGAGCUCGAUGAGUAGGGCGGGACACGUGGUAUCCUGUCUGAAUAUGGGGGGACCAUCCUCCAAGGCUAAAUACUCCUGACUGACCGAUAGUGAACCAGUACCGUGAGGGAAAGGCGAAAAGAACCCCGGCGAGGGGAGUGAAAAAGAACCUGAAACCGUGUACGUACAAGCAGUGGGAGCACGCUUAGGCGUGUGACUGCGUACCUUUUGUAUAAUGGGUCAGCGACUUAUAUUCUGUAGCAAGGUUAACCGAAUAGGGGAGCCGAAGGGAAACCGAGUCUUAACUGGGCGUUAAGUUGCAGGGUAUAGACCCGAAACCCGGUGAUCUAGCCAUGGGCAGGUUGAAGGUUGGGUAACACUAACUGGAGGACCGAACCGACUAAUGUUGAAAAAUUAGCGGAUGACUUGUGGCUGGGGGUGAAAGGCCAAUCAAACCGGGAGAUAGCUGGUUCUCCCCGAAAGCUAUUUAGGUAGCGCCUCGUGAAUUCAUCUCCGGGGGUAGAGCACUGUUUCGGCAAGGGGGUCAUCCCGACUUACCAACCCGAUGCAAACUGCGAAUACCGGAGAAUGUUAUCACGGGAGACACACGGCGGGUGCUAACGUCCGUCGUGAAGAGGGAAACAACCCAGACCGCCAGCUAAGGUCCCAAAGUCAUGGUUAAGUGGGAAACGAUGUGGGAAGGCCCAGACAGCCAGGAUGUUGGCUUAGAAGCAGCCAUCAUUUAAAGAAAGCGUAAUAGCUCACUGGUCGAGUCGGCCUGCGCGGAAGAUGUAACGGGGCUAAACCAUGCACCGAAGCUGCGGCAGCGACGCUUAUGCGUUGUUGGGUAGGGGAGCGUUCUGUAAGCCUGUGAAGGUGUGCUGUGAGGUAUACUGGAGGUAUCAGAAGUGCGAAUGCUGACAUAAGUAACGAUAAAGCGGGUGAAAAGCCCGCUCGCCGGAAGACCAAGGGUUCCUGUCCAACGUUAAUCGGGGCAGGGUGAGUCGACCCCUAAGGCGAGGCCGAAAGGCGUAGUCGAUGGGAAACAGGUUAAUAUUCCUGUACUUGGUGUUACUGCGAAGGGGGACGGAGAAGGCUAUGUUGGCCGGGCGACGGUUGUCCCGGUUUAAGCGUGUAGGCUGGUUUUCCAGGCAAAUCCGGAAAAUCAAGGCCGAGGCGUGAUGACGAGGCACUACGGUGCUGAAGCAACAAAUGCCCUGCUUCCAGGAAAAGCCUCUAAGCAUCAGGUAACAUCAAAUCGUACCCCAAACCGACACAGGUGGUCAGGUAGAGAAUACCAAGGCGCUUGAGAGAACUCGGGUGAAGGAACUAGGCAAAAUGGUGCCGUAACUUCGGGAGAAGGCACGCUGAUACGUAGGUGAAGCGACUUGCUCGUGGAGCUGAAAUCAGUCGAAGAUACCAGCUGGCUGCAACUGUUUAUUAAAAACACAGCACUGUGCAAACACGAAAGUGGACGUAUACGGUGUGACGCCUGCCCGGUGCCGGAAGGUUAAUUGAUGGGGUUAGCGCAAGCGAAGCUCUUGAUCGAAGCCCCGGUAAACGGCGGCCGUAACUAUAACGGUCCUAAGGUAGCGAAAUUCCUUGUCGGGUAAGUUCCGACCUGCACGAAUGGCGUAAUGAUGGCCAGGCUGUCUCCACCCGAGACUCAGUGAAAUUGAACUCGCUGUGAAGAUGCAGUGUACCCGCGGCAAGACGGAAAGACCCCGUGAACCUUUACUAUAGCUUGACACUGAACAUUGAGCCUUGAUGUGUAGGAUAGGUGGGAGGCUUUGAAGUGUGGACGCCAGUCUGCAUGGAGCCGACCUUGAAAUACCACCCUUUAAUGUUUGAUGUUCUAACGUGGACCCGUGAUCCGGGUUGCGGACAGUGUCUGGUGGGUAGUUUGACUGGGGCGGUCUCCUCCUAAAGAGUAACGGAGGAGCACGAAGGUUGGCUAAUCCUGGUCGGACAUCAGGAGGUUAGUGCAAUGGCAUAAGCCAGCUUGACUGCGAGCGUGACGGCGCGAGCAGGUGCGAAAGCAGGUCAUAGUGAUCCGGUGGUUCUGAAUGGAAGGGCCAUCGCUCAACGGAUAAAAGGUACUCCGGGGAUAACAGGCUGAUACCGCCCAAGAGUUCAUAUCGACGGCGGUGUUUGGCACCUCGAUGUCGGCUCAUCACAUCCUGGGGCUGAAGUAGGUCCCAAGGGUAUGGCUGUUCGCCAUUUAAAGUGGUACGCGAGCUGGGUUUAGAACGUCGUGAGACAGUUCGGUCCCUAUCUGCCGUGGGCGCUGGAGAACUGAGGGGGGCUGCUCCUAGUACGAGAGGACCGGAGUGGACGCAUCACUGGUGUUCGGGUUGUCAUGCCAAUGGCACUGCCCGGUAGCUAAAUGCGGAAGAGAUAAGUGCUGAAAGCAUCUAAGCACGAAACUUGCCCCGAGAUGAGUUCUCCCUGACCCUUUAAGGGUCCUGAAGGAACGUUGAAGACGACGACGUUGAUAGGCCGGGUGUGUAAGCGCAGCGAUGCGUUGAGCUAACCGGUACUAAUGAACCGUGAGGCUUAACCUUACAACGCCGAAG
RNAcentral lists this ribosomal RNA (2924 nucleotides) under Shigella flexneri. Its description in RNAcentral is "23S ribosomal RNA". It matches the Rfam family "Bacterial large subunit ribosomal RNA". The record is from RNAcentral. Lineage: Bacteria; Pseudomonadati; Pseudomonadota; Gammaproteobacteria; Enterobacterales; Enterobacteriaceae.